UCCUUUGAUCUAUACAUGCAAUUUUUUGUACCAUUCUGGUUUAAGUUAGUUAUAACUUAAUUCUUACCAAAUAGUUUAUCCAUGUAUUAUCAUGCUAUGUUUUUACUUUAGAACCUGUUUUUCCGUUGCACUCGAUACCCCUAGUCCCCAUGGCAUCUUUUUAUUGUCCUUUAUGUGAUGUCCGUGUUAUUCUCCAUUUGAUCCGAGUGGUCCUCAUUUCCAUUGACUAGGAGAUACUACUUUACUAAAAAAAUAUUGAUAUGAUAUCCAGAGUUGUUGGCAUUGUAAUAGUCAAUUUGAAUGAUGCAGUGUGUUCUUGCGUUUAUAACUACCAAUUUUUUUAGUCCUUAGAUACCUACACAUUUCAUGGUGAUUGACCAAUUAGUGAACUUUUACUGGUAAUUGCUUCAGUAUAACUGUGACUAGACGUGGCAAAAGCGGGCUGGUUGGGUAUGGUCAAAACCAAUAUUUUCUGGUUUGGCUGAAUUGGGUCGGAUUUGGUUGACCAAAAACACUUUUGUCGAGGUAUUUUGUUCCUUUUAUAAAUAUCUAGGGUAUGAAACUUGUCUUAGAAAUUUUAUAAGCUGAUAAUUUUUUAACAAACUCAACUGAUCUAAGGAGGUUUUGUGCCAAAAAGUAAACUUCAAGCAACUUUUUAUCUGUUUGAAUUGUUCGAAUCAUCUCAGUUGAUCUAUUCGUUAAUGAUUUUUUCUAGUUUAUCCGUUUGACUCAAUGGAUAACAUAUCCGAAACUAUGGUAAGUGGUGAGCAGCUAAUACACCAUGGUACUACGUGUGACAUUCUGGUUUUUUAAAAGAAUAAUUAUACUAUUUGUUCUGAUUUGUAAAUCUUUGUGCUUUAUAUUAUUUUCCCCUUGUAUGCUCCGUCACUCAUUUUUUUUUACCAAAACUAAUGCAAAACAUUGGAUAACUUUGGUAAUUGAAUAAUUUCUCUGAUUCUGGGCUAUGAUCGUGGUCUACAUCUCGUCUGUAUGAUGCAGUUUUUUUAAAUUUGUAUCCUACGAUAUACAAGAGUGUGUGAAUUUCUUGUGUGAAAUUUGUAUGUAGAUUAUAUAAAACUUUCGCGGUGUUUUGGAUUGAUUUAUCGAUUCUAUUUUUGUAUUACACACAAGGUAUGUUGUUGGCAUCUUGCUUUGCUCCGUGGAUAUUGUCUUCUGUGCCUGAUUCAUUCUGUUUGAUAUGCAUAAAGGAAGUGGAAACAGGGUGCUGGGUGUAACGUUACUUGUGUGAAUUCUCAUGCUGAUCUAAAAAAAUAAAAAUAAAAAAUGCUGGGUGUAGUGUUAUGUUAUAAUGUGAAUUGUCAUGCUGAUCUGUCUGGUGAAAGGAUUAGUCUUGUAUGGUGUGUAAAUAAAUUUAUUACCAAUCAGCUGUGAGGUACUGUAUGAGUUACAUUUUUUCUAGAUAUUGAAAUUCUACGUUGUUAUGUACCCAGCUGCCUUGUUGCAAUGAAUUUAACAAUCAGCUGUGAGGUACUGUAUGAGUUACAUUUUUUCUAGAUAUUGAAAUUCUAUGUUGUUAUGUACCCAGCUGCCUUGUUGCAAUGAAUUUAACAAUCAGCUGUGAGGUACUGUAUGAGUUACAUUUUUUCUAGAUAUUGAAAUUCUAUGUUGUUAUGUACCCAGCUGCCUUGUUGCAAUGAAUUUAACAAUCAGCUGUGAGGUACUGUAUGAGUUACAUUUUUUCUAGAUAUUGAAAUUCUAUGUUGUUAUGUACCCAGCUGCCUUGUUGCAAUGAAUUUUACUUAUCUGGCAA
Long non-coding RNA from Erigeron canadensis, 1771 nucleotides. RefSeq lists it as uncharacterized. NCBI's taxonomy places the organism in Eukaryota, Viridiplantae, Streptophyta, Magnoliopsida, Asterales, Asteraceae. The transcript is spliced from 2 exons. The record is from RefSeq and is a predicted model, not a curated record.